CGGAGUGUAGCGCAGGCUGGUAGCGCAUCUGGUUUGGGACCAGAGGGUCGGGAGUUCAAAUCUCUCCACUCCGACCA
RNAcentral lists this transfer RNA (77 nucleotides) under Mesorhizobium sp. Its description in RNAcentral is "tRNA-Pro". It matches the Rfam family "tRNA". Rfam says of the family: Transfer RNA (tRNA) molecules are approximately 80 nucleotides in length. Their secondary structure includes four short double-helical elements and three loops (D, anti-codon, and T loops). The record is from RNAcentral. Lineage: Bacteria; Pseudomonadati; Pseudomonadota; Alphaproteobacteria; Hyphomicrobiales; Phyllobacteriaceae.